This 308-nucleotide ribosomal RNA is filed under the name uncultured bacterium. Its description in RNAcentral is "partial 16S ribosomal RNA". It matches the Rfam family "Bacterial small subunit ribosomal RNA", at positions 505 to 807 of the family's 1533-position model. The record is from RNAcentral.
GAGACAGCAGUAGCCACGGGAAUACGAAGGGUGCAAGCGUUAAUCGGAAUUACUGGGCGUAAAGCGUGCGUAGGCGGUUUGUUAAGUCUGUUGUGAAAUCCCCGGGCUCAACCUGGGAAUGGCAAUGGAUACUGGCAAGCUAGAGUGUGUCAGAGGAUGGUGGAAUUCCCGGUGUAGCGGUGAAAUGCGUAGAGAUCGGGAGGAACAUCAGUGGCGAAGGCGGCCAUCUGGGACAACACUGACGCUGAGGCACGAAAGCGUGGGGAGCAAACAGGAUUAGAUACCCCAGUAGUCCCUGUCUCUUAUAC